Molecule: long non-coding RNA, 4463 nt
Organism: Equus asinus (donkey)
Lineage: Eukaryota; Metazoa; Chordata; Mammalia; Perissodactyla; Equidae
Source: Ensembl
GUCAUAGAGAAGGGCAGCUUCCUAUGUAUAAAGGCCAAUUUUAAACUUAGCAGUGACUAAGACAUUUUUAAAGGGCAAGUCGGAGUGGAGGCAGAGAGGAUAAGCUGCCUCGGUCACAAAUACUACACCCAGAACUCCAGCACAGACUUGAACAUUCAGAGCAAACAGCAAGAGAUCAAGACACUAAGUGCUGUUUGCUGCAGUAAUAGGCAUUACUGGAACAUGAUGACUGCUAUGAAAGACAAUUAGACUAACUUGGAUUUAAUUCCCAAUAGACUCACAUUUGAGGUUAAAAUACAAAAAGAAACAGAGAAAAAUGGAAAUGCUUGCAUUUACUGAACAGAAGGAAUUCACCCAUUCAUUGCCAGUAAGUACCUGGCAGGUGGAAUAAUUCAGCAGCCACAACUGCCGAAUCGGGGAUUCUGUGCCCAAUGAACCUAUCAGAGACCACUGCGGGCAAGCAGUUACAAGGACAGAGGCCCCGAUGACGCUCUCCCAUGUCACCUGCUUAUGACGGACGUCAAACUUCAGUACCAGCUCCAUCUCAUGCCUUUGUAAGUUGGGCCCAAAUCUCAAGUCUCAAGUGUGAUUUCGUGUAGUACAUCCAUAAAGGUGGCCACAGUCAGCUGACAUAAAGCAACCAGACCAGAGAAAUGGGGGAACCAAGUCAGCACCCCAGGAGGCCUCAUUAUCUCUGGGGAACAUCUUGGGUGGACACUGAACCAGGCCCUGGAGACGAAAGAGUGAGAAGGCAGAAACGAUCCCGUCACUGGGAAGCUCACACUGCAGAGGAGGGACCCACCGUCAGGACCAGGCACCUUUCAGCCAGUAGACAUGGUCUAGUGGAGAAGGCCCGUGAUGAGGGGCCCAGCAUCCCAAGUUCCCUUUCUGCUCCGCUGGUCUCCAGCUGGCUCACUUUGACUUCGUUCCCAGUCCCUCUGUGCCACAACUGUCUCACCUACAAAAUGAAGGAGAUUGGUCCAGAUGUAACUACUACAGCUCUCCCAUGGAUGAAAUACUAGGUUACAAUGUCUACUGUUUUGCUGGGAAACAGCUCAUUUUCUCACAGAGAAAGGUGAGGGUAAAAUGAAAGGGUCAAGAGUCCACCUUGGAAAGUCUUCUGGACAAUAACCAAACAUAGUCCACAACAGACUUCUUUCAGAGUUGCCGUCACCUCCCCUUGACCCUCUCUGCAUUUCACAUACAGUCCCUCUACUCCAGGGAGCCGUGGAAUUGACGCAAAAUGGAGAAGGAGAAAGGAUCCAGGGGUACCGAGGAGCACGUGAGGGAAUCACUCACUGAAACGGAGGAACAGUUCAUCCCCGGAAAUAAGAUCCAGCGCUAUGGCGUUAAUUCAGUGUCUUUACUGUUGUGGUUAGUCAUGGAGAAAUUCGGGGCAUCAGAGCUGUUCCUUUAAAGACCGAGGCCACUGUGCUCAUGGACGAGCCAUCACCACACCAUUAUGACUAGUUUUCCUACCCACAUUUGGCCUGGUUUUCCUAUCGACUUCCCAAUCCCUGUGAACGUGUGCAGGUAUUUCCCCGACAAUCUCUACUACUCCCCACUCCACUUGGCCUGUUUGGGAACAGGACUGCUAUUCCAAAUGCAUUCUAUUUGGAAUGUGCAUUCGCCACCGACAACAGACAAAUAAGCCAGAAGCAAAACCACUUUUGACUCUGGGAUACUAACUGCAACAAAUUGCCUGGAAAUAACAAAAUGAGGCUGAAAAGACUAGGAUAAAUAUUCCCUGCAUUUUCUGCAAAAUACCAAUAUUAGCCACGGAAGACACAGGCCAUUUAGCUCCUUGAGCAUCAUUGUAUGAUCCAUAGUUUCCUCACAAGAAGCAAGUUCUGUUUGUGCCAACUGUGUAUGAUUCUGCUUCUAAAGCAUUACUCAAAUUCAACAUUCAGCUCUGCUCAGAGUAUGCAUAAUACACGAAUUAAUAACUAAUAUGAAAAGAAAAAAGGCUCUGCAUGAAAUAACCUUUUUCAGACUGAGCAAUAAUCCUCCACGUACAGUAACAAAAAUAGAUGUAACUUCCUUCUCCUCCUGAGAUGUCCAAUUCCACUCUCCGCGGGAGACUCAUCAAUGAACUUCGAUAAAACACCCAGGAUCAUAUACGCGUAGGUAAUUACAACUGUAUUAACCCCUGUCACUGGCUGUGAAGGGAUCAGCGUCAAUCUGGGCAGUUGCUAACAAUAGCGCUCUGAGGGCAAUACGCUCAGUGUUACUCAAGAUGAGUGUUGACUUGCAAGUGGCACCUGGAUGGAUUUGGGACAGAAUACUCAGAUCUUAGUUCUCCUGAGCUCAGCAUUAACAUAAUCCCAUUCUAUUACAAAUUCUCCACCUAAAGGUCCCCUACAGCCACCCACCUGCAGUCAGUCCCCACACCUCCUCAGGGCGGCAGGCUCCAUCAGAUGCCCAGGUGUCCUGAUGUAGGAACUCAGACCUCAUGCAAGGUCUAAGUGACCACUGCCCUCAUUGGGAAGUCACUCAAGUGCUUAACUCACAAACUUUCCAAAAUUUACAUUUUAAUGUCAGGUCCUCAGAGCCUGGGUCUGGAAAUCAACCGGGUCCUUUGUUAUCUGUAACAGAGGCUAUAAAGAAAGAUAACUUAUUGAAAAAGUUGGACUUCUAGGACACAGCAUACUGAAAAAGCUUGGACUUUAGAGCCUGACAGAGCUGGGUUUAAGCUUUAACUCAUUGUCGACUGGUGGCAUGAACGACUUUGCAGAGUUUCCGCCUCUCUCAGAGCCGUGACACAGAUUAACUGUGAAUCUCAGCCGACCAAACACACCUGCACCUAGGAGCGACCUCUCUCGGCACCGACAGUGCCGGCACUGGCUUUGUUUCGUUAACACACUGCCCAGCCCUUGCCUAUAGCUCCCGGACGGCUAGUAACCUACUCUGGCCAUCUCCACGACCCAAGCCCAGGACGCGCUGCGUGACUCACAGUAGGCUCUCAACGUCCACGUCACACUGAAGGAAGAGGAGGCACUUAAUUCAGUGCUUCUCAAACUUUAAUGUGCAUACAAUUCACCUGGGAAUCGUGUUAAAGAGCAUAUUCUGAUUCAUUACGUCUAGCGUGGACCCCAAGACACUGCAUCUCAGACAAGCACCAAAUAGACCCAUGCUUCGAGGACCCCACUCUGAGCAACUCAGUGCUAGUUUCCUUUCUUUUCCUUCCUUUUUGGCCCCGACAAUAGUCUAUGAAGUGGCAACAGCCACGAGCCGUUUGUGAGCAGCUCUGAGGGCUGUUUCCCCGCAGUCCAACCAUGACCUUCCCUUGACACCAACAGAGGCCGGGGCACCCAGGACAAUAUGAGUGUGGGGACUGUUAGUGUGAAGAUACAACUCUUCCCCAUUAGAACAAGCUAUCGAGUGAACAAUGCUCUUCGUCAGAAAAAUAGAAAGCUCCUUAAGGAACAAGAAACAGUUUCGUUAUACUUCUAGAGGACAACACACUAAAUAGCAAUGUGCCGGUAGAAGACACAAAUUUCUAAAUCACUGACAUUUAAUACCUUGUAUUUCCAAAAAGUGUCAUGCUCUCCACUGUCAUGUUAACAGAAUGAGUAUUUAUAAAUAUGCAUGCCAGAAACGCAAAGCCAUAUUUGCAAAGGGAAGCUGUCAUCUGGUGCCACACAGCGCCAUCUGCCGGGCAGCUGCUGAGGAGCAGCAGAAAAAAGGAAGGAUCCUGGUCAGGAAUAAUAACGCGAAAUUUCCUGCAGCUUUUGAAACAGCUUUAUGCAAACUAAGGCAGCUUCCUGGGGUUCUGCACUGGCUCAUUUGGAGAGAACACCAUACAGCAAAAAUGCUCUUUUUGCCUAAAAAGGUAGAACCAUUUUAUAGAGAUACGUAUACUGAUGCGGGACUACAGGCUGAACAGAGAAAUCCUUAUGGCCAUUGAGAAGAAAAAACUGUUUCUUCCUCCCAAAGAAAAAUCUGGUUUUCUGGGCACCACUGGAAUUUACCUGACUCUUAAUCAACACAAUGUUAGUGCACAGUAUUUUCAGCACCCGUCACAAACAAGAAAUAGACAUGAGAAAGUAGCAAAGACAAAUCUGUAAUCUAGUCACUACUGAAUGUAGGUUCCUCUUAAAUCCUAAAACUGGUCGAAUACUUUAGCACAAAUGUCAAGAAAGGAAUGAGUGGGAAGAUGUGAGGCCUGAUAAGUCCUUCCUACUGACAUCUUUCAAGGAAAAGGCAACUUGCUCUAUCAUCAUAGUGGCAUAAUUUUGAAAUGAUUUUAAUUUUCCUAUUGAAUAGUCUAGUUGCCAGAGCUGAUCACCCAGUUCUUAGGCAGUCUUCGAUUUUAAAGAAUUAAGCAGAAAUUUGGGUUUAACUGAACACAUUAAAGAAUAAUAAUGCUAUGAAAUAUCUACUUUGGGACGUCAGAAAAAAUAUAGGUAACAAGCCCUUUCAAGCAAUUUUCUACAGAGGAUCUCAAAGGGCAAUCCUGGCUG